Molecule: ribosomal RNA, 1383 nt
Filed under: uncultured bacterium
Lineage: Bacteria
Description: 16S ribosomal RNA
Rfam family: Bacterial small subunit ribosomal RNA
Source: RNAcentral
UUCGCCCUUAGAGUUUGAUCCUGGCGCAGGACGAACGCUGGCGGCGUGCUUAACACAUGCAAGUCGAGCGGAGACAUUGGACUUCGGUCUGAUGUUUUAGCGGCGGACGGGUGAGUAACGCGUGAGCAAUCUGUCCCAGACAGGGGGAUAACACUUGGAAACAGGUGCUAAUACCGCAUAAGACCACGGAAUCACAUGGUUCUGAGGUAAAAGGAGCAAUCCGGUUUGGGGUGAGCUCGCGUCCGAUUAGCUAGUUGGCGGGGUAACGGCCCACCAAGGCGACGAUCGGUAGCCGACCUGAGAGGGUGAUCGGCCACAUUGGAACUGAGAAACGGUCCAAACUCCUACGGGAGGCAGCAGUGGGGAAUAUUGGGCAAUGGGCGAAAGCCUGACCCAGCAACGCCGCGUGAGGGAAGAAGGUUUUCGGAUUGUAAACCUCUGUCCUAAGUGACGAAGGAAGUGACGGUAGCUUAGGAGGAAGCCCCGGCUAACUACGUGCCAGCAGCCGCGGUAAUACGUAGGGGGCAAGCGUUGUCCGGAAUGACUGGGCGUAAAGGGCGUGUAGGCGGCUCUUUAAGUCUGAAGUGAAAGUCCUGCUUUCAAGGUGGGAAUUGCUUUGGAGACUGGAGAGCUUGAGUGCGGAAGAGGUAAGUGGAAUUCCCAGUGUAGCGGUGAAAUGCGUAGAGAUUGGGAGGAACACCAGUGGCGAAGGCGACUUACUGGGCCGUAACUGACGCUGAGGCGCGAAAGCGUGGGGAGCGAACAGGAUUAGAUACCCUGGUAGUCCACGCUGUAAACGAUGAAUGCUAGGUGUAGCGGGUAUCGACCCCUGCUGUGCCGGAGUAAACACAAUAAGCAUUCCGCCUGGGGAGUACGGCCGCAAGGUUGAAACUCAAAGGAAUUGACGGGGGCCCGCACAAGCAGCGGAGCAUGUUGUUUAAUUCGAUGCAACGCGAAGAACCUUACCAGGUCUUGACAUCGGCGUAAAACCUCAGAGAUGAGGCGUCUCUUCGGAGGAUGCCAGACAGGUGGUGCAUGGUUGUCGUCAGCUCGUGUCGUGAGAUGUUGGGUUAAGUCCCGCAACGAGCGCAACCCCUACGGUUAGUUGCUACGCAAGAGCACUCUAGCCGGACUGCCGUUGACAAAACGGAGGAAGGCGGGGACGACGUCAAAUCAUCAUGCCCCUUACGUUUAGGGCUACACACGUACUACAAUGGCGCAAACAAAGGGAAGCGAUGCCGCGAGGCGGAGCAAAACCCAAAAAAGGCGUCCCAGUUCGGACUGCAGGCUGCAACUCGCCUGCACGAAGUUGGAAUUGCUAGUAAUCGCGGAUCAGCAUGCCGCGGUGAAUACGUUCCCGGGCUUUGCACUCACCGCCCGUCA